UUUAAAGUCUGACCUGCCCACUGAAAUUAUUUAAAUGGCCGCAGUAUUCUAACUGUGCAAAGGUAGCAUAAUCAUUAGUCUUUUAAUUGAAGGCUGGUAUGAACGGUUGGACGAGGUAUAAGCUGUUUCAUAUAAAUUUAUAAUAGAAUUUUAUAUUUUAGUCAAAAAGCUAAAAUUUAAUUAAAAGACGAGAAGACCCUAUAAAUCUUUAUAUUUUAAGUUGUUUAAAUUUUUUAGAUUAAUUUUAUUUUUAUAAUUUAGAGUAUUUUGUUGGGGUGAUAUUAAAAUUUAAUGAACUUUUAGUUGUUAAAAAUCAUUAAUUUAUGAAUUAUUGAUCCAUUAAUAGUGAUUAUAAGAUUAAGUUACUUUAGGGA
This 374-nucleotide ribosomal RNA is filed under the name Bactrocera curvipennis. Its description in RNAcentral is "partial large subunit ribosomal RNA". Lineage: Eukaryota; Metazoa; Arthropoda; Insecta; Diptera; Tephritidae. The record is from RNAcentral.